UAAUUUUAGGAAUAUAUUAUUUCUUCUAUUAAGUAUUUUUUUUAUUUUGAUUAUUGCUAAAACUCUUAUUCAAAAAAUUAGCUAUGGAGAGAAAGGAAUCGAUCAAAUUUGUGAUUUUUGGGAUGAUAUUUAUCUUACUUGGAACAUGUUAUUGUAAGGAAGAGGUUAAAGGAGGAGGAGUAAUUCAUGAUUGUUGUACUCGAUGUUUUGAACAAUGUCGGGAGAUGUUUGGUUAUGUAAACGAAAUAUGUCUCAGAAAUUGUCAACGAGGUUGUCCUAUAUAUUGUCCACCUUUCCAAACCAAAGGUUACUGCUCUUCUAAAUAUAUACAUACACAUACAAACUUACAUGCAUAUGCACACACAAAUGAAGUAUAAAUUAUAUUCGUGUUUUCAUUCUACAUUGCAGGGCAAAACUAUGAAGAAUACAUAUCCAAGCUACACAAGGACAAGAAAGGAAGACUCGGUGGAGGAAAUUGAUGAAUAAUAAGGAUUUCAACAUGUUUUCAAGGAAAUUAUUGAUAAUAAUGUUGGGUAGCGAUAAAUAAUGAUACUACAAUAUUUAUACUAAGAACGUAAAUUUUGAAAACUCUUUCUUUCAAUAAUGUUGUCUUUUACUGUCAAUUUUUAUGAGCUGA
RNAcentral lists this long non-coding RNA (637 nucleotides) under Daucus carota (carrot). Its description in RNAcentral is "long non-coding RNA (DCAR_LNC006498)". The record is from RNAcentral. Lineage: Eukaryota; Viridiplantae; Streptophyta; Magnoliopsida; Apiales; Apiaceae.